RNAcentral lists this ribosomal RNA (484 nucleotides) under uncultured bacterium. Its description in RNAcentral is "partial 16S ribosomal RNA". It matches the Rfam family "Bacterial small subunit ribosomal RNA", at positions 30 to 507 of the family's 1533-position model. The record is from RNAcentral.
AUUGAACGCUGGCAGCAGGCCUAACACAUGCAAGUCGAGCGGAUGAAGGGAGCUUGCUCCUGGAUUCAGCGGCGGACGGGUGAGUAAUGCCUAGGAAUCUGCCUGGUCGUGGGGGAUAACGUCCGGAAACGGGCGCUAAUACCGCAUACGUCCUGAGGGAGAAAGUGGGGGAUCUUCGGACCUCACGCUAUCAGAUGAGCCUAGGUCGGAUUAGCUAGUUGGUGGGGUAAAGGCCUACCAAGGCGACGAUCCGUAACUGGUCUGAGAGGAUGAUCAGUCACACUGGAACUGAGACACGGUCCAGACUCCUACGGGAGGCAGCAGUGGGGAAUAUUCGACAAUGGGCGAAAGCCUGAUCCAGCCAUGCCGCGUGUGUGAAGAAGGUCUUCGGAUUGUAAAGCACUUUAAGUUGGGAGGAAGGGCAGUAAGUUAAUACCUUGCUGUUUUGACGGUACCAACAGAAUAAGCACCGGCUAACUUCGUG